RNAcentral lists this ribosomal RNA (1222 nucleotides) under Terellia amberboae. RNAcentral's name for it is "partial 16S ribosomal RNA". Lineage: Eukaryota; Metazoa; Arthropoda; Insecta; Diptera; Tephritidae. The record is from RNAcentral.
UGCAAAUCAAUAUAAAUUGAUUUUAUUAUAAGUUAUUUAUUUAUUUUAAUUUUUUUUUUUAUUUUAAUUUUAUUAAAAAUAAUUAUUUUAUUUAUAUGUUUUAGUAAUUUUUAAUGAAAAAAUAAUUUUUAUAAUAGUUUAUUUGUAUUGUGAGAGAUGAUUGAAAUAAUUUGAAAAAUUUUUAUUUAAAAAGAAGAAUUUUUGUUUUGUACCUUGUGUAUCAGGGUUUAUUAAAUAAUUAAUAAUUAUUUUUAUUAUUCUCGAUUUUAUAAGAGUUAAUAAUUUACUAAAUUUAAUGUAUUAAAAUUAUUUUUUAUAAAUUAUUAGAAAUGAAAUGUUAUUCGUUUAUAAAGGUAUCUAGUUUUUUUAGAAAUAAAUUUAAUUUAUAAAUUUUUAAUUUUUUAUUUUUUUAUUUAAAUAUAAAAAUUAUUAAUUUAAAUAUUUUAAGGGAUAAGCUUUAAAAUAAAUUAUUAUAAAUUAAUUAAUUUAAUUUAAAAUAUAUGCUUAUAAUUAGCAAUUAUUAAUAAUAUUGUUAUAAAUUAUUUUAUAGAUAUAUUAUUUAAUUAAUUUUUAAUAUUUUUAUAAAAAUUUUUUUUUUAAUAAAUUAUAAGAAGUAUUAAUGAUAGAAUUAGUAUAUAAAUUAUGUAAAAGUAAAUUUAUAUGAUAAGUUUAAAUAAAGAACUCGGCAAAUAUUAUACUCGCCUGUUUAACAAAAACAUGUCUUUUUGAGUUAUUUUUAAAGUCUAACCUGCCCAAUGAAUUUAUUUUAAUGGCCGCAGUAUUUUAACUGUGCAAAGGUAGCAUAAUCAUUAGUCUUUUAAUUGAAGGCUUGUAUGAAUGGUUGGACGAAGUAUAAACUGUUUCAUUUAAAUUUAUAAUAGAAUUUUAUUUUUUAGUAAAAAAGCUAAAAUAAUAUUGAAAGACGAGAAGACCCUAUAAAUCUUUAUAUUAUAAAUUAUUAUUUUUUUUUUGAUUUUUUAAUAUUUAAUAAUUUAUAAUAUUUUAUUGGGGUGAUAUUAAAAUUUAUUGAACUUUUAAUUGUAUUUGACAUAGAUACAUGAUUUUUUGAUCCUUUAAUAAUGAUUAUAAGAAUAAGUUACUUUAGGGAUAACAGCGUAAUUUUUUUGGAGAGUUCUUAUCGAUAAAAAAGUUUGCGACCUCGAUGUUGGAUUAAGAUAUAUUUUUAGGUGUAGUUGCUUAAAUAUAAAGUCUGUUCGACUUU